UUUGAGGUAAUAGUCUAGGAAGUUUCCGUGUCAACGAAAAAUAGUACUACACGUGUGAAUAAAGGGCACCUAUGACAUACAAAGUACUGCAAUAAAAUUGGAGGGCUGGGGAAGUGUUGGACUGGAGCUUCGCCCCCAUGCGGUAUGCUCUAUCCAAGUAUGUGCUCCUGUUUGCCGCAUCUACAUAUUGGAUGAAACCUGCGUGCUAAUUGCGAAUUAUGUGCAAGUCAGUAUUGAACGCUCUGUAUUUCCAGAGAAGUAAGUUUCAACAGUUUCCACGACAUUUCAUGUCUGUUCCAUGCAGUAGUGUAGGUGGGAAUUAUAUUGAUGAUUUCAUUUUACCUUCAUAUCUGCUGAAUUUUCUUACCAAACACAAAAGCUUUGUGAGGUGUUGAUAGAAGUGAACAUAAUUCAUGAUACAAUCCAAAUACUCUGAAAAUAUUUUUAUGGUUCAGUAUUCCUAUGAGGGGAGUGAGUGGAGACAGAAAUGAGUGCACGUGGAGCAGCUGCUGCCUAUGAGGCGAGUGAGUGGAGACGGCCAGAUCUAUGCGGCGGAGGGGCUAUAGAAGCUUGAACGAAAGAUUCGUCGCCAGCAUCGGAGCAAUUUAUUGGGCAGAUCGACACUAAAUCUCCUGCAUGGACGUGAAGGCAUGUCUUUAUUAAGUUCAAUCUUUGAAAACUUGGCAUGUGACGCUGUGUAAAAAUAAAAGAUGCUAGAAAAUUGUCUCUGGCCAAUUUCGUAUGUAGCCGUGAGCAUUGCUAAUUUCUGUCAACAUGAACGAUAUUUGGUCUGUUUAUAUAGCUACCAUGUGCUGAACAAAUUGUCUGAUUAAUGUAAUACUCCUGAAUAGAUUGGUGUGCGUGCCAUGUCAUUUGGUCUGCGUUACACUAACAAAAUCAUUUUGUCAAUGGCUGGUCCAUUAAUACUCUUUCAAAAUUUUGUCUUGACUGCAACAUUGUAGUUUUUUUUUGGUAUGUAUAAUAAGCAUAGGUGUCAAUUUUGGAGCAGAUGAUAGAUUGUUGGUUGUAG
RNAcentral lists this long non-coding RNA (1030 nucleotides) under Triticum aestivum (bread wheat). RNAcentral's name for it is "long non-coding RNA (TAES_LNC017724)". The record is from RNAcentral. Lineage: Eukaryota; Viridiplantae; Streptophyta; Magnoliopsida; Poales; Poaceae.